Molecule: ribosomal RNA, 253 nt
Filed under: uncultured bacterium
Lineage: Bacteria
Description: partial 16S ribosomal RNA
Rfam family: Bacterial small subunit ribosomal RNA
Source: RNAcentral
UACGUAGGGGGCAAGCGUUGUCCGGAUUCAUUGGGCGUAAAGAGCGUGUAGGCGGCCUGAAAGGUCAGCUGUGAAAACUCGAGGCUCAACCUCGAGACGUCGGUUGAAACCAUCUGGCUAGAGUCCGGAAGAGGAGUGUGGAAUUCCCGGUGUAGCGGUGAAAUGCGCAGAGACCCGGAGGAAUACCGGUGGCGAAGGCGGCUUCCUGGUCUGCAACUGACGCUGUGGCGCGAAAGCUAGGGGAGCAAACGGG